UCGACAGGUACGCACGAAAGCCGUUUCGUCCUCAUUAAUUUCAGGUUUCCAAGAAUCCUACGUACCGACAGACGAAACAUUCCGGCUUUCUUUUUCUACAUAUCCUUUGUCCUUCAUCCUGUGUAUAAGAUCAAAUAAAAGAAGAAUCAUUUUCUUCAUCAUAAGGGGGCAGGAUGCUCAUCGUGCAAAGAACUAGCAAACAUUC
Vespula vulgaris is the source of this 205-nucleotide long non-coding RNA. RefSeq lists it as uncharacterized. The transcript has 3 exons. The record is from RefSeq and is a predicted model, not a curated record. NCBI's taxonomy places the organism in Eukaryota, Metazoa, Arthropoda, Insecta, Hymenoptera, Vespidae.